Molecule: ribosomal RNA, 253 nt
Filed under: uncultured bacterium
Lineage: Bacteria
Description: partial 16S ribosomal RNA
Rfam family: Bacterial small subunit ribosomal RNA
Source: RNAcentral
UACGUAGGGGGCAAGCGUUAUCCGGAUUUACUGGGUGUAAAGGGAGCGUAGACAGCGAUGCAAGCCAGAUGUGAAAGCCCGGGGCUCAACCCCGGGACUGCAUUUGGAACUGUGUGGCUGGAGUGUCGGAGAGGCAGGCGGAAUUCCUAGUGUAGCGGUGAAAUGCGUAGAUAUUAGGAGGAACACCAGUGGCGAAGGCGGCCUGCUGGACGAUGACUGACGUUGAGGCUCGAAAGCGUGGGGAGCAAACAGG